This 1298-nucleotide long non-coding RNA is filed under the name Oryzias javanicus (javanese ricefish). RNAcentral's name for it is "lncRNA (ENSOJAG00000007048.1)". The record is from RNAcentral. Lineage: Eukaryota; Metazoa; Chordata; Actinopteri; Beloniformes; Adrianichthyidae.
AUGAGAAACACCUGUGUAGGAGGGCGUGGCUCCAAACAGAGCAGGGAGGCUUUUCCUUCAUUCAGGGAGAAACCAGCGAGGAGGAGUGCGAACGCUGAGAGUCCAACGUGUGGGGCUGGACGCUUGGGCACAGCCGGUGGAGCGCGAGGACUGGGGAGAGCUGGAGACGCACCCCAAACCGACGUUCGGGAGACGCAGAGCGGGUCCGAUUCGAGGCGUUGGCCAGCCGAACACCGGCGGGAGGAAGACGUGAGGAGGGAGGCGCCUCAUCCACAGCCGUGUUCUUUCGUACACCGCCGCUUGGAGACGCAGAGGGGUGAACGGGCUUCACCCCUCCCAAAGGCUUACUGGCAGCACGGAGCGCAGGACUGUAGACUGACCGGAGAGACUGAGGCUGGGACGGACAGAAAAGUGGACCAUUUCAUGGACAAUAGUCUCCACCAGUUUUAUUUUUGUAUUGUGUUUUUACCUUUUUAAUGUUCAUUUUUUUAACAAAUGGUUUUAUGUUAUUUUUAGACUAUUGUAUUAAAACAUCUUUUAAGAGUCAAGGCUGCUGCUGUUUUUGAAGUGACUGGUAAACUCCCCAGUGGGUCCCAAAAAAAAUAGUAAUUUCAGGGCUUUACCCUCGCCCAUCUGACACCUGCUCCUGGGUGCCCACAGCUAAAUAUAACAGCAUCAUCUAAUUGUGUCCCAUUUCUAGCCUCCAGUCUUUAAUUCUGCUGUGCUGAAUCAGUCCCUCUGUCCUUCCCAGAAGCAGGCAAUCUUACUAAUUAGCAUUUAAAACAUGAAGUUUGGCUUCCAUGUUCCUUGAGUGAAACUGAUGGGAAGUCUGGAUGCGUUUAAAGAAAAGACGCCGGCAGUGAAAGCUGGAAGGGCUCUCGUAGCUUCCAGCAUCGCUAAAUACUUGGUUUGUGUGUAGAUUACAAUGCUACUAAUGUAUGGAUGCAAAACCGUUGACAGUCAUUUGAACAUUUACUAAAGGACUGAAUUGUGGUAACCCUCAAUUGCAGGUUUCUAACUGCCACCUCUUCAAAUUGAAAUGAACUUCAGGAGCGCCUUUUUAUAGCUGCUCUGCAAUGAACUGUGUAUUUCUGUCGUCUGUCUGAUCGUGUUUGGGUUUUACUGAAACCAGUUUCAGGAUUGGGUGAAUGUGAAUGUCUCCUCUGUGAGGUUAAUAAAAAUCUAUUCUGUUCCCUUCUCUUCUAUUUACCUUACAGGGGAGAAAUUAACUGUCAUGGUAGCUUAAAAACAAAACACAAAUUUCAAUGUUGGGUGAAUUUCUUGCCUGCGAGAUUAAU